AGCGAACGCUGGCGGCAGGCCUAACACAUGCAAGUCGAACGGAUCCUUCGGGAUUAGUGGCGGACGGGUGAGUAACACGUGGGAACGUGCCCUUUGGUUCGGAACAACUCAGGGAAACUUGAGCUAAUACCGGAUGUGCCCUUCGGGGGAAAGAUUUAUCGCCAUUGGAGCGGCCCGCGUCUGAUUAGCUAGUUGGUGAGGUAACGGCCCACCAAGGCGACGAUCAGUAGCUGGUCUGAGAGGAUGAUCAGCCACACUGGGACUGAGACACGGCCCAGACUACUACGGGAGGCAGCAGUGGGGAAUCUUGCGCAAUGGGCGAAAGCCUGACGCAGCCAUGCCGCGUGAAUGAUGAAGGUCUUAGGAUUGUAAAAUUCUUUCAGCGGGGACGAUAAUGACGGUACCCGCAGAAGAAGCUCCGGCUAACUUCGUG
RNAcentral lists this ribosomal RNA (433 nucleotides) under uncultured bacterium. Its description in RNAcentral is "partial 16S ribosomal RNA". It matches the Rfam family "Bacterial small subunit ribosomal RNA", at positions 29 to 507 of the family's 1533-position model. The record is from RNAcentral.